This 810-nucleotide ribosomal RNA is filed under the name uncultured bacterium. RNAcentral's name for it is "bacterial SSU rRNA". It matches the Rfam family "Bacterial small subunit ribosomal RNA", at positions 8 to 796 of the family's 1533-position model. The record is from RNAcentral.
AGAGUUUGAUCCUGGCUCAGAUUGAACGCUGGCGGCGUGCCUAACACAUGCAAGUCGAGCGGUAACAGGUGUAGCAAUACAUGCUGACGAGCGGCGAACGGGUGAGUAAUGCUUUGGAAUCUUCCCAGUAGUGGGGAAUAACCAGUCGAAAGAUUGGCUAAUACCGCAUACGUCUGUGAAGAGAAAGCGGGGGAUCGCCUCUUCUUCGGAAGAGCGGCCUCGCGCUAUUGGAUGAGCCAAAGUCGGAUUAGCUAGUUGGUGGGGUAAUGGCCUACCAAGGCGACAAUCCGUAGCUGGUCUGAGAGGACGACCAGCCACACCGGAACUGAGACACGGUCCGGACUCCUACGGGAGGCAGCAGUGGGGAAUAUUGGACAAUGGGGGAAACCCUGAUCCAGCGACGCCGCGUGUGUGAAGAAGGCCUGCGGAUUGUAAAGCACUUUUAGUGGGGACAAAAAGUCACGGGUUAACACCCUGUGAUCUUGAUUUAACUCACAGAAAAAGCACCGGCUAACUCUGUGCCAGCAGCCGCGGUAAUACAGAGGGUGCAAGCGUUAAUCGGAAUUACUGGGCGUAAAGCGCGCGUAGACGGUUUGGUAAGUCAGAUGUGAAAUCCCCGGGCUCAACCUGGGAACUGCAUUUGAUACUGCCUGGCUAGAGUAUGGAAGAGGGAAGUGGAAUUUCCGGUGUAGCGGUGAAAUGCGUAGAUAUCGGAAGGAACACCAGUGGCGAAAGCGACUUCCUGGUCCAAUACUGACGUUCAUGUGCGAAAGCAUGGGGAGCAAACAGGAUUAGAUACCCUAGUAGUCC